GACGAACGCUGGCGGCGUGCCUAACACAUGCAAGUCGAGCGAAGUGAUCUUGAAUGAAGUUUUCGGAUAGAUUUCAAGAUUAUCUUAGCGGCGGACGGGUGAGUAACGCGUGAGAAACCUGCCUUUCACAAAGGGAUAGCCUCGGGAAACUGGGAUUAAUACCUUAUGACACUUCAUUAUCGCAUGGUAGAGAAGUUAAAGCGCAAAGCGGUGAAAGAUGGUCUCGCGUCCCAUUAGUUAGUUGGUGAGGUAACGGCUCACCAAGACCGCGAUGGGUAGCCGGCCUGAGAGGGUGAACGGCCACACUGGAACUGAGACACGGUCCAGACUCCUACGGGAGGCAG
This 344-nucleotide ribosomal RNA is filed under the name uncultured Bacillota bacterium. Its description in RNAcentral is "bacterial SSU rRNA". It matches the Rfam family "Bacterial small subunit ribosomal RNA", at positions 28 to 351 of the family's 1533-position model. The record is from RNAcentral. Lineage: Bacteria; Bacillati; Bacillota.